This is a long non-coding RNA of Pieris rapae (cabbage white), 555 nucleotides long. RefSeq lists it as uncharacterized. The record is from RefSeq and is a predicted model, not a curated record. NCBI's taxonomy places the organism in Eukaryota, Metazoa, Arthropoda, Insecta, Lepidoptera, Pieridae. The transcript is spliced from 3 exons.
CAACGACAGAGUGAACGACAAUCAAAAUGAAGACAUUAGUGUGCAUUAUUUUGAUCCUCAUAUCGAGGGUACUUGCAAAACCAACUUUAGAGUAUUUGGGCGCAAUCGAAGCUGUGCCGCCUAGUGUUACUCUGUCGCAAUUGAGCGAUAGUCGUACAGAUGGAAAUGGAAUCCAUAUGAAUCAACUCACAAACCCUCUGUUUCAAGUUGUUCUAGACGAAAGCGAUAAUAAAAGGCGAGUUCAACGAUACAGAGACGUAUUUUAAUUCAUAUUAGAAAUGAUAAUAAAUACGUUCACAUUCAAACAAAUUUCAAUAGAAUAUACCCCACUCAUGAAUUACUCAAUGAUAUUCAUAGAAACACAGAGACAAUAAAUUAAAUAAAUAGUAUUGACUAUGUACGUCAUAUGUAUUUUCAUCUAUAUAAAACAAUUCACUAUGUUUGAAUGUGUAACAUUUAAGAUAUUAAAAGGAAUCAAGAACAAAUAACAGAAUUCAACAUAUUUACGUCCCAUCCAUCAUAAGACAAGACAAUAUUAAGAACGUACCAGUUUGC